This 468-nucleotide ribosomal RNA is filed under the name uncultured bacterium. RNAcentral's name for it is "partial 16S ribosomal RNA". It matches the Rfam family "Bacterial small subunit ribosomal RNA", at positions 28 to 507 of the family's 1533-position model. The record is from RNAcentral.
GACGAACGCUGGCGGCGUGCUUAACACAUGCAAGUCGAACGGAAAGGCCCUGCUUUUGUGGGGUGCUCGAGUGGCGAACGGGUGAGUAACACGUGAGUAACCUGCCCUUGACUUUGGGAUAACUUCAGGAAACUGGGGCUAAUACCGGAUAGGAGCUCCUGCUGCAUGGUGGGGGUUGGAAAGUUUCGGCGGUUGGGGAUGGACUCGCGGCUUAUCAGCUUGUUGGUGGGGUAGUGGUUUACCAAGGCUUUGACGGGUAGCCGGCCUGAGAGGGUGACCGGCCACAUUGGGACUGAGAGACGGCCCAGACUCCUACGGGAGGCAGCAGUGGGGAAUAUUGCACAAUGGGCGGAAGCCUGAUGCAGCAACGCCGCGUGCGGGAUGACGGCCUUCGGGUUGUAAACCGCUUUCGCCUGUGACGAAGCGUGAGUGACGGUAAUGGGCAAAGAAGCACCGGCUAACUACGUG